GAAAGAAAGAAAGAAAGAAAGAAAGAAAGAAAGAAAGAAAGAAAGAAAGAAAGAAAGAAAGAAAGAAAGAGAAAGAAAAGAAAGAACAAAAAACCAAACAGACACAACAAAAGCCCAAACAGUUGCAGUAUUUUUUUAAAGCGUCUCACGUCGUCGCCAAUCACAGUGCAGCAGAGGCCAACCCGGGAGCAGCGCCCCCACCCCCACCCCCUGCCCCCACACCUGCACCAGUGGGAGAGGUUGAAAACCACAAACUCUUUUAGAGGGAAACACAGAGGUGGUGACCGUGGAGGCAAGAGAACAGAAACAAAGCCAAGAGGUACUUGAACAAAGCUGUUAAAGUAACUAACAGUUCUGGCGACUUGGGACCCCGCUGGAGGUGGCAUCCGAAGCGACAGCUCUGAGCCGUGCCCUGUGCGUCUGCUGCCAGCCAGCUUCCACCCAUCGCGUCCGCCGCCGCCUCGUUGUGCCUGAGGAACCCCAAGACUCGCGUGGGUGAAGCGCAAAGUGCCCCGCGCAGCCCGGAGGUGGCUCCGGCGCUGCCCUGCGCUCCCCGUGCCGGUGUCCGAAGGUGUCAGCAACCUGCUGACAGCGACGUCGGGUCAGAGUGCUCCUGCCCCAGCUGCUGCCGAGCACGUCGAGUCUCUUCUGUGUCUCUUCCACAACCAAAGAUGACCUGCGGGCUCCCACUGUGCAAAGCAUCCACGCAGCUCUCCGGUGUGGCGUGGGAACGGUGCUCCCUGGACCAGGAGCAACCCGUGGAGCGUUUGCCGGUGGUCCGUGCGGCGCUGGCUGCUCACCCGAUGCUGGCUGCUGCUUUUCCAGCUGCUAAAUCACUGCUGUGUGCAACGAACAAGAGGAAAGCCGAGGGUAAAGAAGGCUCCGAGUACAUGAAACCCUUUGCUGAUCUUUUCAGUGCUGUACUUGCAGGAGGCUGUUCUGUGAGCACCAAGGGGAAGGGAGGAGGGUGCCUGGUUGUGGCUGGGGGGGAGACGUCCGUCAGAUGCUUUCCCUGUGUUCCACGCCAUGAGUCUGAGCUAGAGAAUCCAUGGCCUAAAGCACUAGAGAAUUGUUUGGGAGGUUUUUUUUAGUAACAAUAAAACACUUUUCUCUGA
Molecule: long non-coding RNA, 1115 nt
Organism: Pogoniulus pusillus (Red-fronted tinkerbird)
Lineage: Eukaryota; Metazoa; Chordata; Aves; Piciformes; Lybiidae
Exons: 2
Source: RefSeq, a predicted model, not a curated record